Molecule: ribosomal RNA, 253 nt
Filed under: uncultured bacterium
Lineage: Bacteria
Description: partial 16S ribosomal RNA
Rfam family: Bacterial small subunit ribosomal RNA
Source: RNAcentral
UACGGAGGGAGCUAGCGUUGUUCGGAAUUACUGGGCGUAAAGCGCACGUAGGCGGCUACUCAAGUCAGAGGUGAAAGCCCGGGGCUCAACUCCGGAAUUGCCUUUAAGACUGCAUCGCUAGAAUUGUGGAGAGGUAAGUGGAAUUCCAAGUGUAGAGGUGAAAUUCGUAGAUAUUCGGAAGAACACCAGUGGCGAAGGCGACUUACUGGACACAUAUUGACGCUGAGGUGCGAAAGCGUGGGGAGCAAACAGG